GGGUGAUGUCUCCUUAUCCUUAGCAAUGGAGGUACUCGGCUGUGCUGUGGGUUGAAAUAGUACCUUAGACACUUAGUUGUCAGUGGUGUGGCGUGAGGUGGGGUUAGAUGCCCU
Ornithinibacillus halophilus is the source of this 114-nucleotide regulatory RNA element. It matches the Rfam family "epsC RNA". Lineage: Bacteria; Bacillati; Bacillota; Bacilli; Caryophanales; Bacillaceae. The record is from Rfam.